RNAcentral lists this ribosomal RNA (400 nucleotides) under uncultured bacterium. RNAcentral describes it as "bacterial SSU rRNA". It matches the Rfam family "Bacterial small subunit ribosomal RNA", at positions 45 to 491 of the family's 1533-position model. The record is from RNAcentral.
GGCCUAACACAUGCAAGUCGAACGAGACCUUCGGGUCUAGUGGCGCACGGGUGCGUAACACGUGGGAAUCUGCCCUUCGGUUCGGAAUAACUCAGGGAAACUUGAGCUAAUACCGGAUGAUGACGUAAGUCCAAAGAUUUAUCGCCGAAGGAUGAGCCCGCGUAGGAUUAGCUUGUUGGUGAGGUAAGAGCUCACCAAGGCGACGAUCCUUAGCUGGUCUGAGAGCACGAUCAGCCACACUGGGACUGAGACACGGCCCAGACUCCUACGGGAGGCAGCAGUGGGGAAUAUUGGACAAUGGGCGAAAGCCUGAUCCAGCAAUGCCGCGUGAGUGAUGAAGGCCUUAGGGUUGUAAAGCUCUUUUACCCGGGAUGAUAAUGACAGUACCGGGAGAAUAAGC